GUAAAAAAGGGCAGAGUUGCUGGGAAAGAAGGCAAAGAAAAAGGGCUACUUGGGCUGGAAUCUGAGAGAUUUUUUGGGGAGACAAGACCAUUGAAAAAGGCAGCCAAUUAAAGGGGAAAGAGAUACAGGAGUAUACCGGCAUUGGGGGCUGAUUUAUAUAUAUUUUACACACCAAUUAGAGGGGGGGGAGUGGGAUAUAUAUACAAGAAGUUGCUGGCCAGAAUUUACCAAAAAAAAAGGCUGCAAUUUUUAUACAUACAUUGGCGGCUGAAUUUGGAGGUUCUUGGAAGAAAAUUGGGUGGCUGCUUGUGGAAUUAAUUAGAGAGACUCACAAACAAAAGGUAGUGAUGAAAUCAACAGAAGUCGAGGGAGAAGAGGGCACACUGGAAGCCUGGAAUUGAUAAAUACACGUGCGAAGGCCGAGAGCAAUUUUGGAAUUUAAUCACUUCCCGUCGAUUUUCGGUUAUUUCCUUCCGCUUUUAUGUUUUUAAUCCCAACAUUAUGCUAGGCUAAAUAUUCUCGUGUAUUGGAUGGAUGACAAAAUUAUUUAAUUCUUAGUUUUAAUUUGGGACCUAUGUUUUUAUGUUAAUUCUAGCGUUGUGAUUCCAUUAAUAUGCCUAUUUAUAUUGUUUUAAUCUUUGCACACCAUUAGGACAAUAAGUUGCUUAUUCGUAGUGUUGAAAAACUCACGGUAGGUAGAACGCUAUUAUUGGAACACACGAACAAUAAAUAUUAGGAAUAAUAUUUGCGGCCUAUGUGAUCUUAUGUAAUAAUCCUAAAUGUCAAUGCAUGUUUGCCGUAUGAAUUCGGACUAGGAAUAAGAUCGUCCCAUGGUAACCAUAGGUUUAUUAUAUCUUGGGAAAGAAUAAUAAAUAAAAGUGGAAUUAGCAUGAAUUAACAUAAUUAUUAUUGGUUGAGAAUUAGAACUAAGAAUUGAUCAAUGGCGUCGGAAAUCCAAUACGUUUACACACUUGAUUUUUUUUUUUUAAAAAACCAAUUCUCAUUGAUUUCAUAAGUUUUAAUUAUAAAAAAAUUAGUUAGUUAUUCAUCAAUCAUCUUUCGGUUAUAAACACGAAUUUAAAUAUAUCAAAUAUACUAGAAUUAAUCCUUAUUCCCUGUGGGACGAUAACUCUCUGAUCACGAUUAUUACUUGUACAACGAACCCGUAUGCUUGUGGGAUUUUGACAAAUAGAAACUAUGAAUGAACGGCUGAGUAUAUAUGUAGGUAGAGUGGAUGGAAUACAAAUAAGAGUGAACAACACUUGGGACUGAAUGCGUAGCAUGGGGGGCGAAGUCAAAGCACGGAGUAGCAUGAUGAGAGCCAUGCAAGCAGAGCAAGUCCAGUAGUCGGAUCUACUGAGGCAGAUCUUGGCUCAUUUCCCACAUCCACCUGGCAAUGACACCGCAGGACCCAGCUAUCAGGUACCACCACCAUAGUAAUCAGGGGAGUUCUAUUUAACUCAUUUUGCUUUUUUUAAUUUGCACUUGUCCUUCAAAUUAUGCCUUUUGAAACUUUUAUUUUUCACAUUGAGGGUAAUGUACUAUAUAAGUUUGGGGGGUGGUGGCAUAUUUUGAAGGUGGCAGAUUUUGGAAACUAAAUUAUCGGCUUGUAAUGUAAUCCUUUUGAAACAAUCACAGUCCAUAAAUACCUUGUUACUGAUUGCAUAUUGUGUGCUUGAUGAGUUAUUAUUGGAUCAAAUUGUUGUAUUAAGUUCAAUGCAUGCCUAUGUGGGUUUGAUAGUCUUGCCCUCAAUGAUGUGAUUAUUGGAAUUGGUAUGUGUUAGAAACUAUGAAUAUAAUGCAGAAUUUGAUUACUGAUACUUGUUGAGGUAGUACUUGACAUUCCAUAUGCACGCCACUCAUGCCGUACAUGUUAGGUGAGUGACUGGGCUUGAAUAAAGCAGGAGAAACCAGAAAACCUCGAUUAGAUUAAACCAUAAAUGAAUGUAAACCCAUAAACCAUUAAUGAAUAGUUUGGAGACGGUUUACCAAUUAUAUGGGAACAUUGAGAUCAGUAGGGGUUCUGUGCAUAAAUUAUGCUGUGUGGAUUGCCUAGACAAGUGAGAUGAAAACUAAGAGAAAGUCUUAAAGUGGAGGUUAAUUCCAAAGACCAAAUGUCUAGAAAAAUAAUAAAGGGGUAUAAAUCUAGGUUAUGAAAAUAUGACACCUUUUCAAGCCUUUAUGAAUCGAGCAAGUAAACUUUUAAGGAUAUCUCGAAAUCUGGUGCCCUAAAGCCAACUGAUUUGGGAAUCACCGACUCAAAACUCGUUACAAAGGUCAUAUAGAAAGCAAGAGGGAAAGAGUUUAAUAAAAAAUAUAUGAUCGAGCCUUUAUGACUCGAGUGAAUAAGCCUGUAAGGGUUUGAAACCUAGUACCCUAAAGCCAACUGGUUUGGGAGACAUCGGCCUAAAACUCGCUACAGGAGUUAUAUAAAAGGAAAAUGAAAAGAUGACAUAAAAAAAUAAUAAUAUUAUUAAUAAUGCAGAAUAUGAUGGUAUGAAUAAAGCCCUUUUACAUUCAGUUGAUAAAAAUCACACCUUCAAGGUGAGACAAGUAACUUAGUUUAAUCUCGAGCGUUGAAGCAAUCAAAUAUAGGAGAGCCUUCACUUGUUGACAUGGAAACCUGUGAUGGUGAGGACUACAGUCACCUAUACCUUUAACUUUAAAACACAACCCCGGGAUAAGUGAGUGAAAAGAAUAAGUUUGGGGGGUUGUGUAUCUCUCGAGCGAAGUAAGGAUAUAUUUGACCAUUUUGGGGUCGGGAUUUAACUAAUCAAGAGUUUGAUAUGUUGGCAUGACUUCACACACACAUGUCGAGUAUGUAUUCAACAAGUAAAGGUUGAUUUUAUUCAUGCAUCAAUCAAUUUUCUUAAAGCAAGAGACUUAGUCCAAUCCUGAGACAUGACAGGUUAUUGAGCCAUGUGUGUUUUUUAGUUAAGUCACUAUUUUGUUUGAGGACAAACAACAGUUCAAAUUUGGGGGAUUUGAUAAGUACAUUUUUUUGCACUUAUUUAAUGUACUAACAUGACUAAAUCACAAGAUAAAUAUUUAGAUUGUGGCUUAAAUUCAUUCAAUUGUUGGAUUGUAGGGUAUAGUGAUGGACAUGAUGGAAUUCACGAGAAAAAGAAGCAAAAAGGACCAAAACAAAAACAAAAUGAAAGUUUAGGGACCAACAUUCAAAUAUCCAAAAGAUGAACCAAAGGAGAAAUCAAAGAUUCGAUCGAGCCAAGUACCAAUUGGAGGUUAACAUUGAUAGAGAGAAUGAAAUGAAGGAAGAAACGAGGCCAAAAAUGUGGAAAAUAAAGUUUAAGGACCAAAAUCAACGUUCGAAAAAAGGGAACCUAUGCGGUCGCAUAGAUUAUACCUAUGUGAUCGCAUAGGAACCUCCCUAACAUUAAAGGUCCAAUUUUUGUUAGCCUAUACGAUCGCAUGCAUAGGCAUAAAUCUGGGACCGAUCUGCAGUUUCCUUUUCGCGAUGAAAUUCUUAUGGAACCCUAAUCUAAACACGAUAUAAAUACUAGAAGCCAUCCAGAACGAAGGAAGAAUGCAUUGGGAGGCAAAAAAACACAUCUUGGAGAGGAUGUAGAGCCAAAGUAACAAGGAUUUACAUGAAGAUCAUCAAGAUUUCAAGCAAAUUCAUAAAAUGGUGAUGUUUUUUCUUCAAUUUAACAUGUAUUCUGUAAUUUUCUUCAUGAUAGACUAAGUUUUCAUGUACUAGGAGAUCGAUGUACCAUAUGAUGUGAUUUCUUUAAUUUCUAGUUUUCAAUUUGACAAUAAACACGUAUUGAAUGUUUGAAUGAUUUAUAUACAAUAAUUC
This 3817-nucleotide long non-coding RNA is filed under the name Olea europaea subsp. europaea. The record is from RNAcentral. Lineage: Eukaryota; Viridiplantae; Streptophyta; Magnoliopsida; Lamiales; Oleaceae.